CAAAAACAUGUCCUCUUGAGGUAAAAUAGGAGGUCUGACCUGCCCAGNGAUGAAUUAGUUUAACGGCCGCGGUAUACNGACCGUGCAAAGGUAGCAUAAUCAUUAGUCUUUUAAAAGAGGGCUGGAAUGAAGGGUUUGNCGAAGUGUUAGCUGUCUCAUUUUAUUUGGUUUNNAGAAUUNAACUUUUUAGUCAAAAGGCUAAAAUUUAAUUGGAAGACGAGAAGACCCUAUAGAGCUUUAUAUUUAUUUUUUUGAUAAUUUUAUAUAAUUUAUUAUUAUGGGAAUAUAAUAUUUUGUUGGGGNGACAAAAAUAUAUAAUAAACUUUUUUAUUUAUAUNACAUUGAUAUAUGAUUAUUAGAUCCAUUAUUAUUGAUUGUUAGAUUAAGUUNCCUUAGGGAUAACAGCGUAAUCCUCCCCCAGAGUUCAUAUUUACGGGUAGGGCUUGCGACCUCGAUGUUGGAAUAAGAUAAUACUUAGGUG
RNAcentral lists this ribosomal RNA (481 nucleotides) under Choristhemis flavoterminata. RNAcentral's name for it is "partial 16S ribosomal RNA". It matches the Rfam family "Bacterial large subunit ribosomal RNA", at positions 1808 to 2554 of the family's 2925-position model. The record is from RNAcentral. Lineage: Eukaryota; Metazoa; Arthropoda; Insecta; Odonata; Synthemistidae.